GAUGAACGCUAGCUACAGGCUUAACACAUGCAAGUCGAGGGGCAGCAUUUCAGUUUGCUUGCAAACUGGAGAUGGCGACCGGCGCACGGGUGAGUAACACGUAUCCAACCUGCCGAUAACUCGGGGAUAGCCUUUCGAAAGAAAGAUUAAUACCCGAUGGCAUAAUUAGACCGCAUGGUCUUAUUAUUAAAGAAUUUCGGUUAUCGAUGGGGAUGCGUUCCAUUAGGCAGUUGGUGAGGUAACGGCUCACCAAACCUUCGAUGGAUAGGGGUUCUGAGAGGAAGGUCCCCCACAUUGGAACUGAGACACGGUCCAAACUCCUACGGGAGGCAGCAGUGAGGAAUAUUGGUCAAUGGGCGCAGGCCUGAACCAGCCAAGUAGCGUGAAGGAUGACUGCCCUAUGGGUUGUAAACUUCUUUUAUAUGGGAAUAAAGUUUUCCACGUGUGGAAUUUUGUAUGUACCAUAUGAAUAAGGAUCGGCUAACUCCGUGCCAGCAGCCGCGGUAAUACGGAGGAUCCGAGCGUUAUCCGGAUUUAUUGGGUUUAAAGGGAGCGUAGGUGGACAGUUAAGUCAGUUGUGAAAGUUUGCGGCUCAACCGUAAAAUUGCAGUUGAUACUGGCUGUCUUGAGUACAGUAGAGGUGGGCGGAAUUCGUGGUGUAGCGGUGAAAUGCUUAGAUAUCACGAAGAACUCCGAUUGCGAAGGCAGCUCACUGGACUGCAACUGACACUGAUGCUCGAAAGUGUGGGUAUCAAACAGGAUUAGAUACCCUGGUAGUCCACACAGUAAACGAUGAAUACUCGCUGUUUGCGAUAUACAGUAAGCGGCCAAGCGAAAGCAUUAAGUAUUCCACCUGGGGAGUACGCCGGCAACGGUGAAACUCAAAGGAAUUGACGGGGGCCCGCACAAGCGGAGGAACAUGUGGUUUAAUUCGAUGAUACGCGAGGAACCUUACCCGGGCUUAAAUUGCAUUUGAAUAUAUUUGGAAACAGUAUAGCCGUAAGGCAAAUGUGAAGGUGCUGCAUGGUUGUCGUCAGCUCGUGCCGUGAGGUGUCGGCUUAAGUGCCAUAACGAGCGCAACCCUUAUCUUUAGUUACUAACAGGUCAUGCUGAGGACUCUAGAGAGACUGCCGUCGUAAGAUGUGAGGAAGGUGGGGAUGACGUCAAAUCAGCACGGCCCUUACGUCCGGGGCUACACACGUGUUACAAUGGGGGGUACAGAAGGCAGCUACCUGGUGACAGGAUGCUAAUCCCAAAAGCCUCUCUCAGUUCGGAUCGAAGUCUGCAACCCGACUUCGUGAAGCUGGAUUCGCUAGUAAUCGCGCAUCAGCCAUGGCGCGGUGAAUACGUUCCCGGGCCU
This 1360-nucleotide ribosomal RNA is filed under the name uncultured bacterium. RNAcentral describes it as "bacterial SSU rRNA". It matches the Rfam family "Bacterial small subunit ribosomal RNA", at positions 28 to 1381 of the family's 1533-position model. The record is from RNAcentral.